Molecule: ribosomal RNA, 473 nt
Filed under: uncultured bacterium
Lineage: Bacteria
Description: bacterial SSU rRNA
Rfam family: Bacterial small subunit ribosomal RNA
Source: RNAcentral
UGCAGUCGAGCGGUAGAGAGAAGCUUGCUUCUUUUGAGAGCGGCGGACGGGUGAGUAAUGCCUAGGAAUCUGCCUGGUAGUGGGGGGAUAACGUUCGGAAACGGACGCUAAUACCGCAUACGUCCUACGGGAGAAAGCAGGGGACCUUCGGGCCUUGCGCUAUCAGAUGAGCCUAGGUCGGAUUAGCUAGUUGGUGAGGUAAUGGCUCACCAAGGCUACGAUCCGUAACUGGUCUGAGAGGAUGAUCAGUCACACUGGAACUGAGACACGGUCCAGACUCCUACGGGAGGCAGCAGUGGGGAAUAUUGGACAAUGGGCGAAAGCCUGAUCCAGCCAUGCCGCGUGUGUGAAGAAGGUCUUCGGAUUGUAAAGCACUUUAAGUUGGGAGGAAGGGCAGUUACCUAAUACGUGAUUGUUUUGACGUUACCGACAGAAUAAGCACCGGCUAACUCUGUGCCAGCAGCCGCGGUAAU